The submitters of this non-coding RNA (55 nucleotides) gave its source as unclassified sequences. The record is from Rfam.
UGACCUUCCCUAAAGAGGGAACUACGGCCAUACGGACAGCCGGGUCAAUUGCCGA